GGGGUUGUAGCUCAGUGGUAGAAUGCUUGCCUAGCAUGCAUGAGGCACUGGGUUCAAUUCUCAGCACCA
Molecule: transfer RNA, 69 nt
Filed under: Marmota marmota marmota (Alpine marmot)
Lineage: Eukaryota; Metazoa; Chordata; Mammalia; Rodentia; Sciuridae
Also listed under: 2 other names
Rfam family: tRNA
About the family: Transfer RNA (tRNA) molecules are approximately 80 nucleotides in length. Their secondary structure includes four short double-helical elements and three loops (D, anti-codon, and T loops). Further hydrogen bonds mediate the characteristic L-shaped molecular structure. tRNAs have two regions of fundamental functional importance: the anti-codon, which is responsible for specific mRNA codon recognition, and the 3' end, to which the tRNAs corresponding amino acid is attached (by aminoacyl-tRNA synthetases). tRNAs cope with the degeneracy of the genetic code in two manners: having more than one tRNA (with a specific anti-codon) for a particular amino acid; and 'wobble' base-pairing, i.e. permitting non-standard base-pairing at the 3rd anti-codon position.
Source: Rfam by way of RNAcentral